Melanotaenia boesemani (Boeseman's rainbowfish) is the source of this 101-nucleotide long non-coding RNA. RefSeq lists it as uncharacterized. Lineage: Eukaryota; Metazoa; Chordata; Actinopteri; Atheriniformes; Melanotaeniidae. The transcript is spliced from 3 exons. The record is from RefSeq and is a predicted model, not a curated record.
UUGCAGAGACAAUUGUAGCCCAGUUCACAGGUGUGGAUGUUGAUCACACUGUAGCAGUAUGAUAACAGGACAACGACAAGCACCAGAAGGUUUAGAUUCGG